Long non-coding RNA from Vicia villosa (hairy vetch), 3733 nucleotides. RefSeq lists it as uncharacterized. The transcript is spliced from 3 exons. The record is from RefSeq and is a predicted model, not a curated record. NCBI's taxonomy places the organism in Eukaryota, Viridiplantae, Streptophyta, Magnoliopsida, Fabales, Fabaceae.
UAAAACAUAAUCUCUUCAUUUCAAUCUCUCUUCCUGAAACCUCUCUCAUCAGUUUCCUCUCUUCCCGUCAAACCACCUCUCUUCCUCCAUUUCUUCUCUUUGUUAAACCCUUUCCUCUCUUCCACCGUUUCAAUCACGCUUCCUUUCUUCAUCUACGAGUUUCCUCCAUCAAACCCUAAUCUUCUCUGUUUCUCCCUAAAUUUUCUCUGAAAAAAUUCCUAAUUUUUUUCAUCCCAAAAAAUUGUUCGAUUCUUCUUCAUCUUCGCCAUCAUGUGCCGUCUUGUUUUGAUAACCCCACCAUUGAUUCGCCACCUUUAGCCAUCGAUACACCACCUUCUUCAUUUGUGUCUUCGAUUCACCACCUUCUUCAUCUGUGCCAUCGAUUCUCCCUUGUCAGCCAUCGUAGGAGGCGCCACCGUGACCGAGGAGCUUAUUCGAGGUUUCAAGUUUUCCCGUUGCAGUUACCUCCAAAGCCUUUUUCCGGCCAGAAGUUAUCAGUGAACUCGAUCUGGCAAAGCACAGAUUGAAGCUUCUGAAGAGAAAUCCUUCGUCGUUUUCGCCUUGUCUGGAUGGUUCAAGAUAUUACAGCUUUGGGUUUGUCAUUUAUGGUUCUCUCUUUUCUUUUAUUGUACAUGAAUUUGUUUUUCUUAAUUUCAUUUAUAUUCUUGUCUCUACAAGUUCUAAUCAGGACAUUAUGGGGUAUUAUUCUUCAUGGUUUGAAAGUGAACAGUGUACAUUCAGAUGGAGAUAUGUGAUCAUAAUUUAUCCAAAUUCAAAGACUCUGAGUUAUUAUCAUAAGGACAACUCUUAGAAGUUUUAUAUCAGUUUCAGGUAAGAUUGGCUGAUGAUGCUAUAUUGCAAGAUGCGAGUGUUGAACGGAAGGAGAAAGUCUCAGCUUAAACUGCUGAUCGGAAACUUAAAAGUAUCUAUGUUUUAAUCUUUUAAGUCACCCUCCUUGAAAAUUAUUCAUUGUUUUUAUAUAUGAAAGGAAUGCAUGUUUAUCUAAUCAUCAUUUUAAUAUAUGAAAGGAAUCUGUAAGUUUCGUAGUUUUCUCUGCAAAAAGACGUUACCUUGGUAGAAACUAAGAGAAACAUAUCUGAUUGGCACAUAUGAUUGUGAAUUCUUCUAAACUUGGGAGCCUUUAUUGUGAAAGACUUGUCUUUUCUGUGUCAUAUAGAGUCUGGACCUGAUGAGAGAAGUACCCCUGGUAAUACUGUUUCUAUCCAAGCAGACAUGCCAAUUAGCGGACUUACGACUUUUGUAGGUUGUUCCACAUAUCACAGAUGCCAUCCAAGAGUGGAUAGAGCGUGUAGCGAAAACUGCGGUUUAUGGAAAAGAAGAAUUGAGUGGUAUAUAAGAUAUAGUAUUAGUGUAAAGGUGCAUUGAAACAUUUAAAUUCUACUAUUCUUAACACCAUUUUAUUUUAUAAUGAUAUUAUCAACUACGUGCAAAUCUUGGUAUCUUUUAUGAACAUCCUAAAUUGCAAUUCUAUUUCACAAUCUGUCUUUUGUAUAAGGCUUUUUUCCAUGUGCCCUUCAAAGAAUAACUUAAGGUUUGUUCAUGUCUUAUCUCCAUCUUUGUAUUCUUAUCUCCAUUUCACUUUAUAUCUCCCUGUAUAUUUUUUAUCUACGAGUAAUAUUCUUGAUCUGCAGUUUGCUAGGAAGUGGAACCAUUUAAUUGAUGUUGCGCUUCUUGAGGAGUAACUCCAUCAGAUGCUUCGAGAGUGGAUAGCCAAGAUCAAUCUCUUUUGCAAAGGCAUAUGGAAAAGACGCUCGCAUCCAUGAAUGUGAAAUAUCAGAAGAAAGUGGUAACAUUCAAGUCAGAUCCACUAAGUUUAUUCAAUUUUUAAAAUCAUAUUAUGUGUUUGUGGAAAUUUUUAGUGAGUUUUAUUAUUGUUAUCAUUAUUGCAUAAGGACACAUUUUUGGUGGCAAGAUAGCUCUAUAAAUUUAUAAAAUCUGAAGUUUGAACAGAGCAAUCCAUUUUCUGUUUGUGAUAAUUACCUUUUAACUCAUCUAUCAUGAAAAGAUACACUUGUUUUUUUUUGCUGUAGCAUGAUAAAGUUUUAUGUAGAGAUUGAAGCUCACACUUGGAGGCAAUGGUUUUCUCUUGGCACUACCUUCCUAUUUUAGAUCUAGUUUAUUUUAUAUGAAUAGUUAUAGUAUUUUGUGUGAUAAUGGAAGCAUAUAUGUUUUAUCACUGUCCUUAUGAUUAUUCUUUACUUAUUUUUUCUUGCUUUCAAAUUUAAUCACUUCUCAUAGUUAACUUCUUUUUUUGUUAAUUGCAUAAAUAAAUGGCUCAAUAACAAAUAACAUUUGUUAAUUCUGGCAACGAAAGUAAGUAAAUCUUUAUCUACCAUAAGGUGCAUUUUUAUUUCUAGUUGACUCACAUGAUCUAUUAGUAACUAGAGAAGAGAAGACAGCUAUGGAAACUUGUUGGUUGGUAGGUAGAAAAUUGAUUUUGUUAUUUUAUGUUUCUUAUAAAUAACAUAUAUUUUGUUCUAAACUUGAGUGGUAAAGGAUUUUGGUUUGUUUAGAACUUGUUCAUUUUCUUUUGUUUGUUUAGAACUUGUUCAUUUUCUUUUUCUUUUUUAGAACUUGUUUAUCAUCAUUAUAUUAUAGUUUGACUAUUGUCUUGUUGUUUAUGUAGGCAAAUCUUGUUUACAAUAUGAAAAUUUUCCAAGAAUUGUAUUACUUGAUUUUUCAUUUUUGAUGACAGGUAUUGCAAGAAUGAGUUGGAAGAAGGAUGGACAAUUGCAUGAAUUAGUUGGAAAAAUAUGGACAAAACACUAUCUCACAAUAGGACUGAUUUCAAUUUUGAAUAAGUCGUAAUAAUAUUAUAGAUUUGAAUAUUUCUAAAUAUUAUAAUAGUUAAUUUUAUUUAAUAUGAUAGUUGAGUGAUAAUUAACUACAAAUUUUAAAAUGUGAAUGAUUUUAGUGUGGGCCAGUAAAAUAAAUAAAUUUUCAUAGAUUUUUUGGGCUUAAAAUCAAAUUGAACUAGUAACUUGUUAACCGAAAAAAACUGAUACUGUUAAUCGAACCAUUCUAAUCCGAACUCGAAAAAAUCGAUAAAAAAACCGGUCAGAAUUUGGGCCCAACCAUCUCACCCGUGGAUUGGUUCGGUUCUGUAGUUUGGGCCCGAAUUCGAACCGAACCGAACCGUUGUCCACCCCUAGUGGCUAUAUCUUGAACCAAAACUGUAUGUUAAACGUUAAAUUGAAACAGUGGCUUUACCAUAUGGCCAUAUGGCCACAGUUCUGUAAUCGUGACAAAUAUAAACCGUGGCCUUAAUCAAACUACCUAAACCGUGGCCUAUAAAAGCCACGGUUGUUAAAAAAGCGUGGUAUAUACCAAAAAACCGUGGACUAUACUUUAGGCCACGGCCGCAUAUCCCACAGUUGGAUUUUCGUGGCCAAACCGUGGCCUCAGCGUUACGCCAUAGUUAUUUUGCAUAUAGCCUCAGUUUCUUGGGCGUGGCAGGAGACUUUUUUUUUGUAGUGGUUGAGGUGAAUAUUGACUCAAAGGAGGUGGUCAUCGCCAUUGAAGAAGGGACAACAUGAGUCGUUGAGUGUGUCGCUAUCCUUCGUAAGAUUAAGGAUAUCAUGGGUCUUCAUGAGAUCGUUGUCAUUUCACAUGCUUAUAAAUCCACUAAUAUGUGUGCGGAUGCUCUUUCUAAGUGCAGCUAUAGUGAUAAGACUUUCACCGUUCAUAAGGAGGCGCCUAUUUUCUUAAGACC